Molecule: small nuclear RNA, 20 nt
Filed under: Arabidopsis thaliana (thale cress)
Lineage: Eukaryota; Viridiplantae; Streptophyta; Magnoliopsida; Brassicales; Brassicaceae
Description: snRNA_14616
Source: RNAcentral
AAAUACGGGCGAGAGACCGA